Non-coding RNA from Camellia sinensis, 295 nucleotides. The record is from RefSeq and is a predicted model, not a curated record. Lineage: Eukaryota; Viridiplantae; Streptophyta; Magnoliopsida; Ericales; Theaceae.
AAGCACUCCAUAUAUGUUCAUUUUUGGUGUUGAUAAAAUCAUUUUCUCUCAAAUUCCGGAUUUCGAUCAGAUUUCUUGGCUUUCAAUUGUUGCCGCGGUCAUGUCCUUUACCUACUCUACCAUUGGUCUCGGUCUUGGAAUCGGCAAAGUUGCAGAGAAUAGGAAAUUUAAGGGAAGUCUCACCGGAAUAAGCAUCGGCACGGUGACUGAGACUCAAAAAAUUUGGAGGAGCUUCCAAGCACUUGGAGACAUAGCUUUUGCCUAUUCUUACUCUCUCAUCCUCAUUGAAAUCCAG